CUUAUUUAGAGGAAGUAAAAGUCGUAACAAGGUAACCGUAGGUGAACCUGCGGUUGGAUCAUUAACAAUUAUUAUUGAGCUCUUCCUCCCUCUUUUUACCGAGGGGGUGGUAGGUUCUCUAACACUUGUGUGCACUGUUUAUUGUCUCUCGGCGUUCGAGGGUUGGGUUUUGGAUGGAGCUUGCUUCAGAUAUACCCUUGGGCUUUUAAUACGGCCUUGACCUACCCCUGAGCGCCAACUUAAAAACUUGAAUUUUAUACUAUAAGCCUUUAAUUUUAAAUUUAUAAUUUGAAAACAACUUUUAACAACGGAUCUCUAGGCUCUCA
This 326-nucleotide unclassified non-coding RNA is filed under the name fungal sp. Its description in RNAcentral is "partial internal transcribed spacer region". The stretch from base 1 to 64 matches the Rfam family "Eukaryotic small subunit ribosomal RNA", at positions 1768 to 1831 of the family's 1831-position model. The record is from RNAcentral. Lineage: Eukaryota; Fungi.